GACGAAAGCCGGCGGCGUGCCUAAUACAUGCAAGUGGGACGCAAGGAAACACACUGUGCUUGCACACCGUGUUUUCUUGAGUCGCGAACGGGUGAGUAACGCGUAGGUAACCUGCCUAUUAGCGGGGGAUAACUAUUGGAAACGAUAGCUAAUACCGCAUAAUAUUAAUUAUUGCAUGAUAAUUGAUUGAAAGAUGCAAGCGCAUCACUAGUAGAUGGACCUGCGUUGUAUUAGCUAGUUGGUAAGGUAAGAGCUUACCAAGGCGACGAUACAUAGCCGACCUGAGAGGGUGAUCGGCCACACUGGGACUGAGACACGGCCCAGACUCCUACGGGAGGCAGCAGUAGGGAAUCUUCGGCAAUGGACGAAAGUCUGACCGAGCAACGCCGCGUGAGUGAAGAAGGUUUUCGGAUCGUAAAGCUCUGUUGUAAGUCAAGAACGUGUGUGAGAGUGGAAAGU
RNAcentral lists this ribosomal RNA (459 nucleotides) under Streptococcus mutans. Its description in RNAcentral is "bacterial SSU rRNA". It matches the Rfam family "Bacterial small subunit ribosomal RNA", at positions 28 to 463 of the family's 1533-position model. The record is from RNAcentral. Lineage: Bacteria; Bacillati; Bacillota; Bacilli; Lactobacillales; Streptococcaceae.